GAUUAUGGCUCAGGACGAACGCUGGCGGCGUGCUUCAUACAUGCAAGUCGAACGAGAAGUCACCUUCGGGUGAUGGAAAGUGGCGGACGGGUGAGUAAUGUGUAGAGAAUCUGCCCUUUAGUGGGGGACAACAGUUGGAAACGACUGCUAAUACCCCAUAUGCGCGUAGCUGAGAUGCUAUUCGUGAAAACUCCGGUGCUAAAGGAUGAGUCUGCAUCUGAUUAGCUAGUUGGCGGUGUAAUGGACCACCAAGGCGACGAUCAGUAGCUGGUUUGAGAGGAUGAUCAGCCACAAUGGGACUGAGACACGGCCCAUACUCCUACGGGAGGCAGCAGUAGGGAAUUUUGCGCAAUGGGGGAAACCCUGACGCCAGCAACGCCGCGUGAUUGAAUAAGCCCUUCGGGGUGUAAAGAUCUGUCAGUAGGGACGAAACUUGACGGUACCUACAGAGGAAGCAUCGGCUAACUCCGUGCCAGCCGCCGC
This 483-nucleotide ribosomal RNA is filed under the name uncultured bacterium. RNAcentral's name for it is "bacterial SSU rRNA". It matches the Rfam family "Bacterial small subunit ribosomal RNA", at positions 15 to 518 of the family's 1533-position model. The record is from RNAcentral.